NNNNNNNNNNNNNNNNNNNNNNNNNNNNNNNNNNNNNNNNNNNNNNNNNNNNNNNNNNNNGGCGGCGCCCGCGCGGGGGCGUCGGAGGGGGCGGCGCCGAGCUGGAGUGGCGCGCGGAGGGGGUGGGGACGCGUCUCUGCCCUCGGCGGGGGUCGGAGUGGUCGCCGGGUUCCCCGAGCCCGGGCAGCGCCUGGCCUCCUGCGAAGUUCGGAGUGACCCCGGCCGCGCUCUGGGCGCCGCCUGGCGAGGGUUGGGGCGGGUCCCUUCGCCUCCUCGCUUGACGGUGUGAUUCACCCUGCCUUAUGUAAAUCCGCGGGAAGCUCUCCGAGCCACAGGGAAUGUGACUCCAGCCGGGUUAGGGGAAACGUCUGUAGCCGACAACUUUGGACCGACACCCCCUUUUCGAGCGCGCCUGCCACCGCGGGUCACUGGGGGCGUGUGCGCUCUGAGCCACCUCUCCGUUCAAAGCCACCAAGAAGGCUCUUGGAUAAGAAUUGGCUUCCCCCCUUCCCUCUCUGCAGGACUGUGUCCCCGAUCCAAACCAAGACUGCCAGGUACAUUAUUUUCCUGCUUGAAGAUCGUUUUCCUUGGUGUGUCUCUGUUAGAUCACGAGUUCAAGGAAUGCUUAAAUGAGCCCAUCCUUACGUUCCUGGCUGUCAAAGGCGGGUACCUGCACACCUUGUUUCAGGUAAAUCCUACUGGAUAGUUAGAAGGAGACCAGGAAGUGUGAUAGCCUUUGCAACUCAUCUGCCAGCCUGAAUGAGUCCCAUUUUUAAGACCACACUGUGUUUCUCUGUGUUUCUGGAAAGAAAGUCAGGGUUGACAGACAUGUGUAAUUUACGGUGAGACCAACAUUUUUAUGAACCUCUUUAUUCCACGUAGCUCUCUUUCUGACCUGCUUUUGGAAAAGGUUCCUGUAGCCACUGGUGUUAGAAGCAAGAAUCUAAAGGUCAGAGCAUUGGUGAAUUAAUUUAGUGAAUUUGAAGGCUGAUGCCGACACACAUCUCAGUCCCAUAGUGUCGCACUCGAGUUACAGGGUGUGGGGGUAAAAAUUCUGGGCUGGGCAUUUAGGGAUGAAAGUUUUCUUUCUCUGCUGGUAAUCUAACUCAACUGCCAUUUUUUGUUCAUAUGCGGAAGGCCAAGAACUAGACAGUAAGCGGGUCAUUGGCUUUGCUCAUGUCCUUAACGCCGCGUCGGGAGUUUUGGUCAAUUCUCUUCUCUUCAGCCUCCUCUUCCCUUCCUUCUUUGUGCCAGUUCUUCGUCCUGCCUCCUCUGCCUUGUGCUGGAAGCCAGGCUGGACCCGGAUCAGGCUAAGCCAGUCAUGGGGCCUUUAGUUCCUUUGCCCGUGCUAGGCUUAGGCAUAGACUUACAAAACCAUUCUGGCCAGUGAGACCUGGAGUCCCCAGGGAGGUUUUUGGAAAAGAUAUCCAUACUCUGGCCAGAAGACACAGACAAGAUAUGGCCCCUUUGCUUCAUGGUUCAGAUCCAGGUUCGAGGGCUUGGGCUUGGGAUGGUCACGGCAUAGGGGGGUGUGAGGGGAUCUACGCAGAUGCGUGGACAAUGGCAGAGCAGAAAGAUGGAAGGAACAUGGUCCUUGGUAAUGGCACCAAGCCCUCAAAGUAGUCAACUCUCACUUGCCACG
This 1642-nucleotide long non-coding RNA is filed under the name Mustela putorius furo (domestic ferret). RNAcentral describes it as "lncRNA (ENSMPUG00000029694.1)". Lineage: Eukaryota; Metazoa; Chordata; Mammalia; Carnivora; Mustelidae. The record is from RNAcentral.